This 253-nucleotide ribosomal RNA is filed under the name uncultured bacterium. RNAcentral's name for it is "partial 16S ribosomal RNA". It matches the Rfam family "Bacterial small subunit ribosomal RNA", at positions 524 to 776 of the family's 1533-position model. The record is from RNAcentral.
UACGUAGGUGGCAAGCGUUGUCCGGAAUUACUGGGCGUAAAGGGCGCGUAGGCGGCCUGUUACGUCACACGUGAAAUCCCUCGGCUCAACCGGGGAACUGCGUGUGAUACUGGCGGGCUUGAAUUCGGGAGAGGGAUGUGGAAUUCCAGGUGUAGCGGUGAAAUGCGUAGAUAUCUGGAGGAACACCGGUGGCGAAGGCGGCAUCCUGGACCGGUAUUGACGCUGAACGGCGAAAGCUAGGGGAGCAAACGGG